Non-coding RNA from Taxawa tesnikishii (nom. ined.), 105 nucleotides. The record is from the annotation of a GenBank genome assembly. Lineage: Eukaryota; Fungi; Ascomycota; Dothideomycetes; Dothideales.
GGCGUGGUAGCAAAGUGGUUACUGCGAUUGACUAGAAACCGUCAACCCAUUGACGGUAGAAAUCAAUUCCCUUCGGGGGCGUAGGUUCGAAUCCUGCCCACGUCG